CCGAGGUAGUACUCCAGAACAGAAAAGGGCUUAAUUUGUUGUUCCUCCAACAAGGGGGACUAUGUGCCGCAUUAGGAGAAGAGUGCUGCUUUUAUGCCGACCAUACUGGGGUAGUGAAAGAAUCCAUGGCUAAGGUGAGAGAAGGAUUAGCCAAGAGGAAGAAGGAGAGGGAAGCACAGGAGGACUGGUUUGAGGUUUGGUUUAAGAGGACUCCCUGGUUCACCACCCUAGUUUCUACCUUAGUUGGCCCAUUUGUUUUGCUUGUGCUCAUUCUAACUUUUGGCCCUUGCAUUCUGAAUAAGCUUAUUAAUUUUGUAAAAAAUCGUGUUAAUACCGUCCAGCUCAUGGUCUUAAGACAGCAGUAUGAGAAGUUGCCUGCUCCUGAGGAUCCCUACGACUGCCCUACAAAUGAGCAAGAUUCCUCAUUAUGAGCAACUGAAAGGGGGGAAUGUAAGAGUGGCCAUCUGAAAGGC
Long non-coding RNA from Lutra lutra (Eurasian river otter), 473 nucleotides. RefSeq lists it as uncharacterized. Lineage: Eukaryota; Metazoa; Chordata; Mammalia; Carnivora; Mustelidae. The record is from RefSeq and is a predicted model, not a curated record. The transcript has 3 exons.